GAUGAACGCUGGCGGCGUGCCUAACACAUGCAAGUCGAGCGAGAAUUUACGAAAUGAAGCUUCGGCAGAUUUUUGUAAAGGAAAGCGGCGGACGGGUGAGUAACGCGUGAGUAACCUGCCCUUAGGUGGGGGAUAACACAUCGAAAGGUGUGCUAAUACCGCAUAAUAUAUAUUUACCGCAUGGUAGAUAUAUCAAAGAUUUAUUGCCAAAGGAUGGACUCGCGUCUGAUUAGAUAGUUGGUGAGGUAACGGCUCACCAAGUCGACGAUCAGUAGCCGAACUGAGAGGUUGAUCGGCCACAUUGGGACUGAGACACGGCCCAGACUCCUACGGGAGGCAGCAGUGGGGAAUAUUGCGCAAUGGGGGAAACCCUGACGCAGCAACGCCGCGUGAAGGAUGAAGGUCUUCGGAUUGUAAACUUUUGUCUUAUGGGACGAACACAGACGGUACCAUAGGAGGAAGCCACGGCUAACUACGUG
This 479-nucleotide ribosomal RNA is filed under the name uncultured bacterium. RNAcentral describes it as "bacterial SSU rRNA". It matches the Rfam family "Bacterial small subunit ribosomal RNA", at positions 28 to 507 of the family's 1533-position model. The record is from RNAcentral.